UCCGGUGAUGAUAGCGGAGGGGAGACACCCGUUCCCAUCCCGAACACGGCCGUUAAGCCCUCCAGCGCCGAUGGUACUUGGGGAUUUUCCCCUGGGAGAGCAGGACGUUGCCGGGA
RNAcentral lists this ribosomal RNA (116 nucleotides) under Desulfotomaculum sp. Lineage: Bacteria; Bacillati; Bacillota; Clostridia; Eubacteriales; Desulfotomaculaceae. The record is from RNAcentral. RNAcentral also lists the same sequence under 1 other name.